UAGCAAAGAUGGACGCAAUAACAUGCCCGUGUGCUAGCUAGCCGCAACGCUAACAGUUGCCCCGCAAAAAGGCAAAACCUGGAAUAAACACAGGUUUUCUAGUUUCCUACGUCUCGCGCAGGCGAGGAUGUAGUUAUGUCCGCUCGGUCCUUACAAUGUGAGCGUAAAUCAGUUGCUGAAGAAAAGCUGCGUUCUGUAAGCUUUUGAGUACCUAACUUGGUGGCUAGUUAGCAUGAGCGUGCUACAGCUAAUUUAAAACAGUGCGAGCCACUUUGGCUGGUUUACCGGCAAGCUAAUUAUCGAUGUUGACAAAAUCCAUUGACGACGUUCCAGAAUGUUGUGCGAAUUGCUUUUCUCGUCUCUAUGGUUCCUGUUUGUCAUCUUCUGGGUGGAGACCAUCAGUGUAUGGUUCUUCCUCUCCAUGUUCUACCAAGACAGAGCCUUCUACCAUUGGGGAGAUGGGGUAUUUUCAGAUGAUUCUGGCCAGCUGAUAUACAUGCUGAGCAGAGUUGAUGCCCACAUGCAGAGAGAGAUGUAGCCCUUGGACAUGAAGAACAUCCAGGAGUGAAAACACCUGAAAGGACUCUUUUGAGUUGUGUGUUACCACACUGUGCUGCUUUUUUUUUUUUUCCACUAAUUCUAUCCUCGUCGCCAUACUUAAUGCACAUCGAUCAAAAGAGUGUUGAAGGCACAAAGGGCAGAGACGGCCGGAGCUCUGGGUGGAGUAACACCGGAACGUUUAUUGUUUCACUUUUCAAGGAAGUGAGUGUUGCAGGAAAAAUUAUUAGCAGCUCUUCUUUGUUUAUGUUAUUAUAUUAAUUUUAAUUCCAGAAGGGGUCCUUUUGAUCUGGUAGGAUUUGUACCAAGAUUUUUGCAAUCACGCUGUUGUUCUAUGCAGCUGAAUUUCACGCGGUUUGAAGUCAUUUUUAAGAUUGCAGUCAAUGUUUCCUGUAACGUUAAUACCGAUGACCUGUUUUAUGAAGAAAUAUUGAUGUAUAUAUCGCAGGUGUGGGAGCCAAAAAUUAUCAAAUACAAGUACCAAGCUGAACAUGCAGAACUGUCUCCGUUUUUUACAAGAAUGUACUUCAAGGAAAUCAUCCAUCCACUUUCUGUAGCGCUUGUCCUCAUUAAAGUUGCAAGUUAGCUUGAACCUAUCCCAGCUGAUUUUGAGCAGAAGGCGGGGUACACGCUUAGACUGGUUGCCAGCCAAUUGCAGGGAACAUACAAACAACCAUUCACACUCACAUUCACAGCUAUGAAUAAUUUUGAAUCAAAAUAACAUCACAGGGCGGAUUUAUUUUUUCCACAAAAAAUCUGAUGAGUUCUCUCACAAAAAAGGUCCUCUUUUUUAAAAACUUAUAUAAACACAAUACUGAACGAAUUAACGUUUUAAAUGUUCAACAAUUUAGAGUAAAAUGACACGCAAAACUUCAUGCCUUGGCUGGUACAUAUGCCUGUUUUCUGUUGUUGAUCUCCAGCUCUCUCACACACACAAAAAAAGAAAAGACUGUUCUCUGCUCAUAUUAGGUUUUACAUGUGAGGAAAGGAAACCUUGGCAAAAUAUUUGUCAGCACAUACUUCGGUUCAAAGGUUUCAGACGUUGAUAAAUCACUGUUUUUACAACGUAUAAAUUGGCAGUAUUCCUUUGGCAAAGUUCAGUUCAAUUCGAUUGAGUCAGUGAUUACCUUGUACUCCGGGCUCCAUUCGUGUUUAACGGAACACAAUGAGGAAAUUACUCCGCUCAUGUUGUCUGUUUCUUAGCAGGAAUUAAAGUCUCUGGUCGCAUUUAAAACAAAUAGUCACUCGAGCAGUUGGGAAAGUCUCUAAAUACACUGACCAGCUCGCCAAGUUGGCAACACGGCUUCUGUUUCUGUGCACUUUUCUGUUAACAGCCAUGACGUUAUUAUAAGCCGUGCAACUACGGAAGCUGCUAAAUCAAUAUAAAACAAAAAAAUCACCCAAACAAAUAAAAUCCAAUUAAUCAAUAAAAUUGAUUGUUUACCCAGCCCUACCAUUAUAUGAUAAAAGCUGAAUAUUAAGAAUAGUCAAUUUGAUGACACGAAACACAAGGUUUUGCAGAACAAUCAGUAUUGCUGGAAUUGAAAUACUGUAUGUAGUGUAUAAUGAGCGUAUUUGCAUUAGCAUCUCUUGAUAAAAUUAAGUUGUGUAUGUAAUUGAUAUGUGCUGUUCUAAGUUCUAUUUGCAGUUCUCUGGCCUCAUCGCACUUGUUUGCCAUCAGUGGUACUCUUCUGUGAUAAUGUCAGAAAAAGCCAAAGAGAGUGAAAGUUUUGUUCAACUUGUACCACUUUUGGGCCGAUCGGCUUUGGAGAUUCCACUGUGUUACAGUAAUGAAUUGGUUCACUUUAAAAAAAAUAAUAAUAAUAAAAUUAAAAAGUUUUUUUGUUUGUGUGUGUGUGAUUUAAAGAGAUUAUGUUUUUAAAAACGUGCAUAGUUUUUCUUGUAUUUCAGACAAGUAAAACAUUAUUUUGUAUUGUAAUGCUCAAUUUGUAUUUCAAAGCUUAAUAAAUGGAUGUAUUUUGAAGUCACACCCAGUGUUAUCAAGUCAAACCAGGUGUGGGUAAAAUGUGCUCACAGAUAGGACUCACAAAGUGCUUGUCAUAGGUCAAAUACAGUCUGACAUAUAGUAUAUAAAAUACUGAUCGUUAUGAACUGCCCUUUGUUACAGCUG
Phycodurus eques (leafy seadragon) is the source of this 2689-nucleotide long non-coding RNA. RefSeq lists it as uncharacterized. NCBI's taxonomy places the organism in Eukaryota, Metazoa, Chordata, Actinopteri, Syngnathiformes, Syngnathidae. The record is from RefSeq and is a predicted model, not a curated record. The transcript has 4 exons.